This 86-nucleotide ribosomal RNA is filed under the name Clostridiaceae bacterium. Lineage: Bacteria; Bacillati; Bacillota; Clostridia; Eubacteriales; Clostridiaceae. The record is from RNAcentral.
UUCCCAUCCCGAACACAGAAGUUAAGCUCUCCAGUGCCGAUGAUACUUGGGUGGAGACGCCCUGGGAAAGUAGGUCGCUGCCGGAU